Cinara cedri is the source of this 1057-nucleotide non-coding RNA. NCBI's taxonomy places the organism in Eukaryota, Metazoa, Arthropoda, Insecta, Hemiptera, Aphididae. The record is from the annotation of a GenBank genome assembly.
UGUAGGUGAAAAGUUGUGAACGUAGGAUAUACAAAUUUGUUUAAUUUAUAUCUAUAUUAACCCACAUCUGUAAACCAUUGCCAAUGAAAAACGAUUCGGAGCGAAGUUCGUUUACACACAUGUUUAAAGGUUAUUAUAAUAUUCGUCAAAAUUUGUUAUUAAAACUCUUAUGAAAAAAAAAUACUACCUAACACACAAUUUUUUUUUCCCCCACUAAGUACGACUUAAAGUGAACCUCCUGUUAAUUUUUUAAUCAAAUGUUUAUAAAUAUAGCCCAUAAAUAGCUUAAAUAUUUUAAAAAUUUUACUACUAGAAUAAUAAAUGUAAGUUAUCUGUCGAAAUAUCAAGUUCCUGUAAAUAUGUUUAACUAAAUCGCAACAAAAACACAAAAUUUAAAAUAAUAAAAGCAUUAUUUUCGUAAAUUUUCGUCUGUUGUCGUUUUUCUAUUUGAGCAAUAUUUCUGGGAGAAAACAUUUUGCAUGUCAAUUUAAAGUAAUAAAAUCGUACGCCACGCAGUAAAUUUGUUCGUUUUUCAAUUUUCGUCAUUAUCCGAUUUUCUAAAUUAUUAUAACUACUUGUUGAAAAUCAAAAAAAGACUCGCCUCUUAAUCAUCUAGAUCCGAAAAUUUAACACAAAAGGUGUCUUGUCAUUUUUCUAUUGGAGCAAAAUUUCUGGUGGAAAUUAUAGUUUGCAAAAAUUAAAAACUAUGAAAUCGGUAACGCCACAGCAUAAAUAUUUGACGUUUUACUUAUAACUCAUAAUAUAAUAAUAUCAUAAUUUUAUGUUACAGAAAUUUUCUUCUAUAAAUAAACAAAAUAGAGAAUAAUGUAUAAUGAAACAUUUUCAUUAAAUAGUGCAAUCCAAGUAUCUGUAUGUUAUAGGGUUAAUAACUUUACAAGUGUUGAUUUUCAUCUUAUCAACUAUAGUACCUUAUUUGUUCUUUAUUAGAUUUUGAUGAUUUACCUGCACGUCAAUUUACAAAAAAUCAUACGAAUUGCAUUAUUCGACUAAAAUCACUGUUCGCGAAAUGAAAAUAUUUUAUUUUUCGUGAAAUAAG